This 253-nucleotide ribosomal RNA is filed under the name uncultured bacterium. Its description in RNAcentral is "partial 16S ribosomal RNA". It matches the Rfam family "Bacterial small subunit ribosomal RNA", at positions 524 to 776 of the family's 1533-position model. The record is from RNAcentral.
UACGGAGGAUGCAAGCGUUAUCCGGAAUGAUUGGGCGUAAAGCGCGUGUAGGCGGCUCGGUAAGUCUGCUGUGAAAGUCCAGGGCUCAACCCUGGGAUGCCGGUGGAUACUGUCGAGCUCGAGUCCGGAAGAGGCGAGUGGAAUUCCUGGUGUAGCGGUGAAAUGCGCAGAUAUCAGGAGGAACACCAAUGGCGAAGGCAGCUCGCUGGGACGUGACUGACGCUGAGACGCGAAAGCGUGGGGAGCAAACAGG